This 2774-nucleotide ribosomal RNA is filed under the name Escherichia coli. Its description in RNAcentral is "bacterial LSU rRNA". It matches the Rfam family "Bacterial large subunit ribosomal RNA". Lineage: Bacteria; Pseudomonadati; Pseudomonadota; Gammaproteobacteria; Enterobacterales; Enterobacteriaceae. RNAcentral also lists the same sequence under 1 other name. The record is from RNAcentral.
AGCGUACACGGUGGAUGCCCUGGCAGUCAGAGGCGAUGAAGGACGUGCUAAUCUGCGAUAAGCGUCGGUAAGGUGAUAUGAACCGUUAUAACCGGCGAUUUCCGAAUGGGGAAACCCAGUGUGUUUCGACACACUAUCAUUAACUGAAUCCAUAGGUUAAUGAGGCGAACCGGGGGAACUGAAACAUCUAAGUACCCCGAGGAAAAGAAAUCAACCGAGAUUCCCCCAGUAGCGGCGAGCGAACGGGGAGGAGCCCAGAGCCUGAAUCAGUGUGUGUGUUAGUGGAAGCGUCUGGAAAGGCGCGCGAUACAGGGUGACAGCCCCGUACACAAAAAUGCACAUGCUGUGAGCUCGAUGAGUAGGGCGGGACACGUGGUAUCCUGUCUGAAUAUGGGGGGACCAUCCUCCAAGGCUAAAUACUCCUGACUGACCGAUAGUGAACCAGUACCGUGAGGGAAAGGCGAAAAGAACCCCGGCGAGGGGAGUGAAAAAGAACCUGAAACCGUGUACGUACAAGCAGUGGGAGCCUCUUUAUGGGGUGACUGCGUACCUUUUGUAUAAUGGGUCAGCGACUUAUAUUCUGUAGCAAGGUUAACCGAAUAGGGGAGCCGAAGGGAAACCGAGUCUUAACUGGGCGUUAAGUUGCAGGGUAUAGACCCGAAACCCGGUGAUCUAGCCAUGGGCAGGUUGAAGGUUGGGUAACACUAACUGGAGGACCGAACCGACUAAUGUUGAAAAAUUAGCGGAUGACUUGUGGCUGGGGGUGAAAGGCCAAUCAAACCGGGAGAUAGCUGGUUCUCCCCGAAAGCUAUUUAGGUAGCGCCUCGUGAAUUCAUCUCCGGGGGUAGAGCACUGUUUCGGCAAGGGGGUCAUCCCGACUUACCAACCCGAUGCAAACUGCGAAUACCGGAGAAUGUUAUCACGGGAGACACACGGCGGGUGCUAACGUCCGUCGUGAAGAGGGAAACAACCCAGACCGCCAGCUAAGGUCCCAAAGUCAUGGUUAAGUGGGAAACGAUGUGGGAAGGCCCAGACAGCCAGGAUGUUGGCUUAGAAGCAGCCAUCAUUUAAAGAAAGCGUAAUAGCUCACUGGUCGAGUCGGCCUGCGCGGAAGAUGUAACGGGGCUAAACCAUGCACCGAAGCUGCGGCAGCGACGCUUAUGCGUUGUUGGGUAGGGGAGCGUUCUGUAAGCCUGCGAAGGUGUGCUGUGAGGCAUGCUGGAGGUAUCAGAAGUGCGAAUGCUGACAUAAGUAACGAUAAAGCGGGUGAAAAGCCCGCUCGCCGGAAGACCAAGGGUUCCUGUCCAACGUUAAUCGGGGCAGGGUGAGUCGACCCCUAAGGCGAGGCCGAAAGGCGUAGUCGAUGGGAAACAGGUUAAUAUUCCUGUACUUGGUGUUACUGCGAAGGGGGGACGGAGAAGGCUAUGUUGGCCGGGCGACGGUUGUCCCGGUUUAAGCGUGUAGGCUGGUUUUCCAGGCAAAUCCGGAAAAUCAAGGCUGAGGCGUGAUGACGAGGCACUACGGUGCUGAAGCAACAAAUGCCCUGCUUCCAGGAAAAGCCUCUAAGCAUCAGGUAACAUCAAAUCGUACCCCAAACCGACACAGGUGGUCAGGUAGAGAAUACCAAGGCGCUUGAGAGAACUCGGGUGAAGGAACUAGGCAAAAUGGUGCCGUAACUUCGGGAGAAGGCACGCUGAUAUGUAGGUGAAGCGACUUGCUCGUGGAGCUGAAAUCAGUCGAAGAUACCAGCUGGCUGCAACUGUUUAUUAAAAACACAGCACUGUGCAAACACGAAAGUGGACGUAUACGGUGUGACGCCUGCCCGGUGCCGGAAGGUUAAUUGAUGGGGUUAGCGGUAACGCGAAGCUCUUGAUCGAAGCCCCGGUAAACGGCGGCCGUAACUAUAACGGUCCUAAGGUAGCGAAAUUCCUUGUCGGGUAAGUUCCGACCUGCACGAAUGGCGUAAUGAUGGCCAGGCUGUCUCCACCCGAGACUCAGUGAAAUUGAACUCGCUGUGAAGAUGCAGUGUACCCGCGGCAAGACGGAAAGACCCCGUGAACCUUUACUAUAGCUUGACACUGAACAUUGAGCCUUGAUGUGUAGGAUAGGUGGGAGGCUUUGAAGUGUGGACGCCAGUCUGCAUGGAGCCGGCCUUGAAAUACCACCCUUUAAUGUUUGAUGUUCUAACGUUGGCCCCUGAUCGGGGUUGCGGACAGUGUCUGGUGGGUAGUUUGACUGGGGCGGUCUCCUCCUAAAGAGUAACGGAGGAGCACGAAGGUUGGCUAAUCCUGGUCGGACAUCAGGAGGUUAGUGCAAUGGCAUAAGCCAGCUUGACUGCGAGCGUGACGGCGCGAGCAGGUGCGAAAGCAGGUCAUAGUGAUCCGGUGGUUCUGAAUGGAAGGGCCAUCGCUCAACGGAUAAAAGGUACUCCGGGGAUAACAGGCUGAUACCGCCCAAGAGUUCAUAUCGACGGCGGUGUUUGGCACCUCGAUGUCGGCUCAUCACAUCCUGGGGCUGAAGUAGGUCCCAAGGGUAUGGCUGUUCGCCAUUUAAAGUGGUACGCGAGCUGGGUUUAGAACGUCGUGAGACAGUUCGGUCCCUAUCUGCCGUGGGCGCUGGAGAACUGAGGGGGGCUGCUCCUAGUACGAGAGGACCGGAGUGGACGCAUCACUGGUGUUCGGGUUGUCAUGCCAAUGGCACUGCCCGGUAGCUAAAUGCGGAAGAGAUAAGUGCUGAAAGCAUCUAAGCACGAAACUUGCCCCGAGAUGAGUUCU